CGGAUUGUCCGUUGUGCGCUGGAGUUGGCCUGAGUUCGCGGCUUCGCGCGGGGCAUUAGGAAAGGGAAUGCCAGCGGCGAGUGACGUAACGCAGCCGACUCCUCUUAUCCAUGUCCCCGCCCCGUGUAUAAACUUCAUAUCCUUUCUCUUCUUCCUCCCGAAGCCGCCCCCCUCUCUCCCAUGGUUUGCCCCUUCUCGUACGCAAGGUCUUGGUAGAAGGGUAGCUUCAAGUUUCCUUUAGACAUACAGGCAUGGAGGGGGCUCUGUUCCAGUCAGCAAUUGUUCCUACUGUAUAUAACAGCUGCGCUCAGGUCCGUGGGCAUGCCAGGGCGACAUCGUUCCGUAGUAUGGAGACACAAACCAUUACCCUUGGAGGUUUUCAAGGACUGAGGAGGGCAAACUUUCUUGAUACGAAAUCUGUUGUCAGGCAUGAUUUCGGCUCUAUUGUGGCAAGUCAGCUUGCACGUCCAAGAGGGAAGGGGUCUAGAAUGGUUGUCCGUGCCAUGUUUGAGCGCUUCACAGAGAAAGCAAUCAAGGUGAUUAUGCUUGCUCAAGAGGAAGCAAGACGUCUAGGCCACAAUUUUGUUGGGACAGAGCAGAUCCUGCUUGGCCUUAUUGGUGAGGGUACAGGUAUUGCAGCUAAGGUUCUUAAGUCAAUGGGCAUCAAUCUUAAGGAUGCUCGUGUAGAAGUUGAGAAGAUCAUUGGGCGAGGCAGUGGUUUUGUGGCCGUUGAGAUUCCUUUCACACCCCGUGCAAAGCGUGUGUUGGAGCUGUCGCUAGAAGAAGCUCGUCAACUUGGUCAUAAUUACAUAGGAUCCGAACACUUGCUGCUGGGCUUGCUUCGUGAAGGUGAAGGUGUGGCUGCCCGAGUGCUAGAAAGUCUCGGCGCUGAUCCAAACAACAUCCGCGCACAGGUCAUAAGAAUGGUUGGUGAAAGCACAGAAGCUGUUGGUGCUGGUGCUGGUGGUGGAAGCAGUGGUCAAAAAAUGCCCACACUUGAAGAAUAUGGUACUAAUUUGACGAAACUAGCUGAAGAGGGUAAACUAGAUCCAGUUGUUGGCAGGCAGGACCAAAUUGAGCGUGUCACCCAAAUAUUAGGCAGGCGAACAAAGAACAACCCUUGCCUAAUUGGAGAGCCAGGUGUUGGCAAGACUGCUAUUGCAGAGGGACUUGCACAGCGUAUUACCAACGGGGAUGUUCCAGAAACAAUUGAAGGAAAAAAGGUUAUUACACUUGACAUGGGGCUGCUUGUUGCUGGCACCAAGUAUCGUGGAGAGUUUGAAGAAAGGCUGAAGAAGCUUAUGGAGGAAAUUAAGCAAAGUGAUGAUAUCAUUCUCUUCAUUGAUGAAGUGCACACUUUGAUUGGAGCUGGUGCAGCUGAGGGUGCAAUCGAUGCAGCCAACAUCUUGAAACCUGCUCUUGCAAGAGGUGAAUUGCAGUGUAUUGGUGCCACAACGCUGGACGAGUACAGAAAGCAUAUCGAGAAAGAUCCGGCACUGGAGAGAAGAUUUCAGCCAGUCAAGGUUCCAGAACCGACUGUUGAUGAAACCAUACAAAUUUUGAGAGGUCUUCGUGAGAGAUAUGAGCUUCACCAUAAGCUGCAAUAUACAGAUGAUGCUCUUGUUGCUGCUGCGAAAUUGUCAUACCAGUAUAUCAGUGAUCGUUUCCUGCCUGACAAAGCUAUCGACCUGAUUGAUGAAGCUGGAUCACGUGUCAGACUGAGGCAUGCUCAGCUCCCUGAUGAAGCCAAAGAAUUGGACAAAGAACUCCGCCAGGUUACCAAGGAUAAGAACGAGGCAGUACGUGGCCAAGAUUUUGAGAAGGCUGGGGAACUAAGAGACAGAGAAAUGGAACUGAAGGCACAGAUUACGGCCAUCAUUGACAAGAGCAAGGAAAUGGUCAAGGCAGAGAGCGAGUCUGGUGAAGUUGGUCCUUUGGUCACGGAGGCAGAUAUCCAGCAUAUUGUCUCCUCUUGGACUGGAAUACCUGUCGAGAAGGUUUCCGCUGAUGAAUCUGACCGUCUCCUGAAGAUGGAGGAAACACUGCAUCAACGUAUCAUUGGCCAGGACGAGGCUGUGAAAGCUAUUAGCCGUGCAAUCCGUCGAGCCCGUGUUGGCCUCAAGAACCCAAACAGACCUAUUGCUAGUUUUAUAUUCUCUGGACCAACCGGUGUUGGUAAAUCAGAACUUGCUAAAGCUUUGGCAUCGUACUACUUUGGCUCUGAGGAAGCCAUGAUCAGGCUUGAUAUGAGUGAGUUCAUGGAGAGACAUACUGUUUCGAAACUAAUUGGGUCGCCACCCGGAUAUGUUGGCUAUACUGAGGGUGGUCAAUUAACUGAAGCAGUUCGUCGUCGCCCUUACACAGUAGUUCUCUUUGAUGAGAUCGAAAAGGCACAUCCAGACGUCUUCAACAUGAUGCUUCAAAUACUGGAAGAUGGAAGAUUGACUGACAGCAAGGGGCGGACUGUUGAUUUCAAGAAUACACUGUUGAUCAUGACAUCUAAUGUUGGAAGCAGUGUCAUUGAGAAGGGAGGCCGCAAGAUCGGAUUUGACCUUGACUAUGAUGAGAAGGACACCAGCUACAACAGGAUUAAGAGCCUGGUGACUGAGGAGCUAAAGCAGUACUUCCGGCCUGAGUUCUUGAACAGAUUGGAUGAGAUGAUUGUUUUCCGCCAGCUGACAAAGCUGGAGGUGAAGGAAAUUGCAGACAUUAUGCUGAAAGAAGUGUUUGACAGGCUGAAGGUAAAGGAAAUCGACCUUCAAGUGACUGAAAGAUUCAGAGAUAGGGUGGUGGAUGACGGCUACAACCCAAGCUACGGUGCCAGGCCACUGCGGCGCGCUAUCAUGAGGCUGUUGGAAGACAGCCUGGCAGAAAAGAUGCUGGCUGGCGAGGUCAAAGAAGGUGAUUCCGCUAUCGUAGAUGUUGAUUCAGAAGGCAAAGUUAUAGUUCUCAAUGGUGGCAGCGGUGUCCUGGAGCCGCUGACACCUAUUUUGAGCACCUAAUCAUGCGGAGCACAUGAUUACGGAAUCCAUUGUUUCAGCACAAGCUGUGGCGUGGAGCUGCCACCAAUUCUCUUUCAUUAGGUGGUGUUGUGUCGUUAGAUAUUGCUUGCAAGCGAGGCACUAGAAGAUUCCUUAUAGCUCACCGGCCGCCUAGAUUUUCUGUUUUUGCUUUUGAAAGGAAUCUGGAGGCUUUAUUUUUGGGAUGCCGAUAUAUGCCAUACGUGUGGCACGAGGACCCCUAUGCACCAAGGCGAAUACUCAGCGCCGGCGCGCCGGCCGAAAGUUUCGGCCGGUCGCAUGCCAGCCGCUGGAUUACUUCAUUUGUGACGGUUAGAUUAGAACCCCCAAUCUUUUCCAUCCCUGGCUUCGUCUCAGAUCUGAUCGAGAGAUGGAAAACAACUUUGACCUGCUGUAGAGAAACUGCCCCCCGCAGGGCCGUGCCUCGUCUGCAGCGACACACCGUCUCCCCAUGGCCGUCGAAGCAUCCCCGGCGCCUUCUCGACCGUCGCCGUCAUCGACCACACUCACCGUCUCGCCAUCCGUUCGUGAUCUACACAUCAAAUCACGCCGUUCGUGGCCCUUGCCGUAGUCGGUUGCAGUAUACUUUACACUCGCUGUCGCAGCCCUCCUGUAUGUCUCCGGUGCAGCUCGCCAGCGGCACGGUCAAUGCGUCCCUCCAUUGCAAGCUCCACCUCUCCCCUGGAUGCAGCUUCCAUGUAGCAAAAAAACAUGUCGAUGGAAGCUUUUCCGGUUGCCGGUUGAAACAAAAUAAAGGCUCCGGCGUUGCCACCGCAUAAAUUACUCUCGAUGCAGCAAAAACAUACGCUAUUUCCAGCUCAAGGCUUCACGGGUUGUAGCAAAACAAUCUCCCGGUUCCAGCUUUGGCGUCGGGCGGUGGCA
RNAcentral lists this ribosomal RNA (3902 nucleotides) under Triticum aestivum (bread wheat). Its description in RNAcentral is "partial small subunit ribosomal RNA". Lineage: Eukaryota; Viridiplantae; Streptophyta; Magnoliopsida; Poales; Poaceae. The record is from RNAcentral.